GAUCAUGGCUCAGGAUGAACGCUAGCUACAGGCUUAACACAUGCAAGUCGAACGGUAACAGGAAGCAGCUUGCUGCUUCGCUGACGAGUGGCGGACGGGUGAGUAACGUCUGGGAAACUGCCUGAUGGAGGGGGAUAACUACUGGAAACGGUAGCUAAUACCGCAUAACGUCGCAAGACCAAAGAGGGGGACCUUCGGGCCUCUUGCCAUCGGAUGUGCCCAGAUGGGAUUAG
RNAcentral lists this ribosomal RNA (233 nucleotides) under uncultured bacterium. RNAcentral describes it as "partial 16S ribosomal RNA". It matches the Rfam family "Bacterial small subunit ribosomal RNA", at positions 15 to 244 of the family's 1533-position model. The record is from RNAcentral.